AAUCCAUAGGUUAAUGAGGCGAACCGGGGGAACUGAAACAUCUAAGUACCCCGAGGAAAAGAAAUCAACCGAGAUUCCCCCAGUAGCGGCGAGCGAACGGGGAGGAGCCCAGAGCCUGAAUCAGCAUGUGUGUUAGUGGAAGCGUCUGGAAAGGCGCGCGAUACAGGGUGACAGCCCCGUACACAAAAGCGCAUGUGCUGUGAGCUCGAUGAGUAGGGCGGGACACGUGGUAUCCUGUCUGAAUAUGGGGGGACCAUCCUCCAAGGCUAAAUACUCCUGACUGACCGAUAGUGAACCAGUACCGUGAGGGAAAGGCGAAAAGAACCCCGGCGAGGGGAGUGAAAAAGAACCUGAAACCGUGUACGUACAAGCAGUGGGAGCACCCUUUGGGUGUGACUGCGUACCUUUUGUAUAAUGGGUCAGCGACUUAUAUUCUGUAGCAAGGUUAACCGAAUAGGGGAGCCGGAGGGAAACCGAGUCUUAACCGGGCGUUAAGUUGCAGGGUAUAGACCCGAAACCCGGUGAUCUAGCCAUGGGCAGGUUGAAGGUUGGGUAACACUAACUGGAGGACCGAACCGACUAAUGUUGAAAAAUUAGCGGAUGACCUGUGGCUGGGGGUGAAAGGCCAAUCAAACCGGGAGAUAGCUGGUUCUCCCCGAAAGCUAUUUAGGUAGCGCCUCGUGAAUUCAUCUCCGGGGGUAGAGCACUGUUUCGGCUAGGGGGCCAUCCCGGCUUACCAACCCGAUGCAAACUGCGAAUACCGGAGAAUGUUAUCACGGGAGACACACGGCGGGUGCUAACGUCCGUCGUGAAGAGGGAAACAACCCAGACCGCCAGCUAAGGUCCCAAAGUCAUGGUUAAGUGGGAAACGAUGUGGGAAGGCCCAGACAGCCAGGAUGUUGGCUUAGAAGCAGCCAUCAUUUAAAGAAAGCGUAAUAGCUCACUGGUCGAGUCGGCCUGCGCGGAAGAUGUAACGGGGCUAAACCAUGCACCGAAGCUGCGGCAGCGACACUGUGUGUUGUUGGGUAGGGGAGCGUUCUGUAAGCCUGUGAAGGUGUGUCGUGAGGCAUGCUGGAGGUAUCAGAAGUGCGAAUGCUGACAUAAGUAACGAUAAAGCGGGUGAAAAGCCCGCUCGCCGGAAGACCAAGGGUUCCUGUCCAACGUUAAUCGGGGCAGGGUGAGUCGACCCCUAAGGCGAGGCCGAAAGGCGU
Molecule: ribosomal RNA, 1211 nt
Filed under: Salmonella enterica subsp. enterica serovar Enteritidis
Lineage: Bacteria; Pseudomonadati; Pseudomonadota; Gammaproteobacteria; Enterobacterales; Enterobacteriaceae
Description: partial 23S ribosomal RNA
Rfam family: Bacterial large subunit ribosomal RNA
Source: RNAcentral